AUUGAACGCUGGCGGCAGGCCUAACACAUGCAAGUCGAGCGAGCGGCGGACGGGUGAGUAAUGUAUGGGGACUGCCCGAUAGAGGGGGAUAAAUACUGGAAACGGUAGCUAAUACCGCAUACUAUCGGAUAACCCAUAUGGGAUUGGCUAGUAGGUAAGGUAAUGGCUCACCUAGGCGACGAUCCCUAGCUGGGCUGAGAGAAUGAUCAGCCACACGGGGACUGAGACACGGCCCAGACUCUUACGGAGGCAGAAGUGGGGAAUAUUGCACAAUGGGCGCAAGCCGGAUGCAGCCAUGCCGCGUGUAUGAAGAAGGCCCUAGGGUUGUAAAGUACUUUCAGUCGUGAGGCGUUACCGACAGAGGAAGCACCGGCUAACUACGGGCCAGCAGCCGCGGUAAUAC
This 403-nucleotide ribosomal RNA is filed under the name uncultured bacterium. Its description in RNAcentral is "partial 16S ribosomal RNA". It matches the Rfam family "Bacterial small subunit ribosomal RNA", at positions 30 to 526 of the family's 1533-position model. The record is from RNAcentral.